RNAcentral lists this unclassified non-coding RNA (458 nucleotides) under Acidithiobacillus thiooxidans. RNAcentral describes it as "16S-23S ribosomal RNA intergenic spacer". The stretch from base 47 to 120 matches the Rfam family "tRNA". Lineage: Bacteria; Pseudomonadati; Pseudomonadota; Acidithiobacillia; Acidithiobacillales; Acidithiobacillaceae. The record is from RNAcentral.
AAAGAAAUGGGUCCUAGACCCCACACACGCCACUCGGUAAAGAAUCGGGCCUAUAGCUCAGCUGGCUAGAGCACACGACUGAUAAUCGUGAGGUCAGUGGUUCGAGUCCACUUGGGCCCACCAAAUGGGGCUGUAGCUCAGCUGGGAGAGCACCUGCUUUGCAAGCAGGGGGUCACCGGUUCGAUCCCGGUCAGCUCCACCAAAGGGAAGAGGCCCGCGCGCAGCGGGUCGGACGCUGGGGUGGAGAAGUAGGCGGCAGGAAGCGGGUAACAGGUAACAGGAAGUAGAGAAUAGGAAAGUAAUUAAAGAGUCCGUAGUAGUGAGUUUCUGAAUAAAGAAGCUGAGUACUACCGAUUCGCAGUAUGGAAGCGGUAUUGUUCUUUGACAGUUGAGGAAGGGAAGGCCAUGUUUGUCAUCUUGCCGAUGGCAGACCUCCAGGUGGAUGCUUGGGGAUAUAU